AUCCAGGAGGAGGUGGCGGCAUGGGGGAGGUGGGCAUGAAGGGGAGGAGCGCCAUAGGGAGGUAGCAUGGGGAGGCAAGGGGGACAGCGCUGGUGAGACGGCGCUAUAAGGGUGCGACAGCGAGGCAGCGUUGUAAGCGGGGUGAGUUCAGGAGCAAGUUUUAGAGAACUCAACUACCCAGUCCACGUCACCUAGCUGGAAUGCAGCAGGUGCACCGAGGUGGGUUUCAUCGUGGUCAACGUCGAGCAGGGCUUUGUCAUGGUCGCUGGAUGUUGUAGUUGAUUACUGAUUUUGUUUAGGUUAAAAGAGCCCAUUUGUGUAGCUGAAUUGUGGAGUGUUAGUUCGAAUUUCUUAUAAAUUCUUUAUAAAUCUGGUUUGAAUAACUUGAUUUGUGGCAUAAAGGGAGAAGAAUAUCAUAUGAUUGUUUGAUCUCA
Long non-coding RNA from Phragmites australis (common reed), 434 nucleotides. RefSeq lists it as uncharacterized. The transcript has 2 exons. NCBI's taxonomy places the organism in Eukaryota, Viridiplantae, Streptophyta, Magnoliopsida, Poales, Poaceae. The record is from RefSeq and is a predicted model, not a curated record.